GCUUACUAGCUCAUUUCCCCAAUUUCUGCCUUAUUAUCCUAAAAAAAAUAAAAAAAAAAUGGGUCAAAAAUCAGUUGCUGUUGGGCUAAAGAUUCUAAUUAAUCAGAAGAAGAUUUGUCAAGGCAAAGCAGUUUUAAUUAUGUAUAGUUCAAGAUUCACCAAAGUGAAACCCAUCUUCCACACAAAUCCUACUCAAUCUAUCAGUAUUCAACAUAAUAAUUGUUGCUUCCUCAAAUAUUGUUUCCUUUGCAAUAAGACCUUGAGACUCGACAAAGAAGUUUACAUGUACAAGGGUGAUCUUGGAUUUUGCAGUGUAGAGUGUAGAAACAGGCAGAUUUAUUUGGAUGAAAUAAAAGAACUUGAGACUUGUACUAAAAGUAUGUUACGAUCUUUUCGCCGAUGUGGAGACGAUAACCGCCGGCGGUGUAGUGAGACUUCGGCUCUACUGGAGGAAUACAAUCAACGGCGAAAUCCCAUAGCAUAUUCUAAGAAAAAUACUCGACCUAUAUUCACAUUGUCAUAAUUCGAAUUUGUUUUGCUUUAUUCUCAAAUUCUUUUAUUGAUUCCAAUAAAAUUAUUGAAGAAUAUAG
RNAcentral lists this unclassified non-coding RNA (590 nucleotides) under Hevea brasiliensis (rubber tree). Lineage: Eukaryota; Viridiplantae; Streptophyta; Magnoliopsida; Malpighiales; Euphorbiaceae. The record is from RNAcentral.